CCCAACACCCGGAGCCACUGUGGCUCCGGCCGGUUGCGCUGGCCCUCGGGCCCUCAGGGAGGCGAGGGUGCGAGGGCAGAGGAGUCCCUCCCUGUGUCCACCACCAUCACAAGCCCAGGGCAAGUACUGCUAGAGGGCUGCCUAUGAUCAGAUCUUCUGAGAACAUCAGAGAAAGACUGUCCUUGCAAUCUACACUACAGCAAGACUUCAGGACCUUGAACUUCAGGUUCAUAAUCUCACAACUGAGAAGGAUCCUUCCACACUCUUGGAACAGUGCACCCAUUGGAACUCUGAAGGUUAAGCUCACCAGGAAAGUUUCUCUCCAGAAGAAGAUAACACCCUUAAUGUGAACAGCUUUUCCCAAAAUCACGGAUUGAAACUUCUCUACACUCACGAGACUCUUAUCUUUGAAUAUUUUCCCUUGGUUAUGCUUCUGUGAACAAUAGACGUGAAAAGGGAGUCUGUUGUGUGCACUUAUGGGGCACACUUUUAUGUGUGAAGGAUUUUUCAGCCAGCCUUAUAUAUGGAUGACCUUAUAGUUUAAGAGAUAAAAGACAAAGACCCAAUGCAGUGUAUUUUUUAUUCUGUGUUCAAAGAUCACCAAUGAGAUUCCCAGUUGCCAAAUCCAAUCUUUAGUUUUCAUCUUAGUUCCUCUGAGCAACAUCUGAAAAAGUGUGAUAGGCAACCUUGAAAUGGCCCCAGAUAAUCCCUGCCUCCAGACUAACAAAAUGAUAUUUGUGUCCAGAACCAGUUAAAGAGCUGUGGCAGUUCUAAGAACUUCCACCAAGAUAAAGCAUAUUCUGAAAGCUGGUUGCCAGAGAAACCAAUCAGCGAUAAAAGAAUUGGGACUUUCAGCUUCACCUUCUCUACCUCUGGGGAGGAAAGAAAGGGCAGAUAUUGAGCUCAAUCUCCAGUGGCUACUGGUUUAAUCAAUAAUGCUUACAUACUGAAGCUUCCUUAAAAACCCUAAAUGAAGGAGUUCAGAAAACCCCAGGUUCACCACAAUGAUGAAGACAUUCAUGUGCCUAGAGAGUAGCCCACCCUAACUCAGUGGGGCAGAAACUCCUGUGGUCAGAACCCUUCU
Molecule: long non-coding RNA, 1084 nt
Filed under: Homo sapiens (human)
Lineage: Eukaryota; Metazoa; Chordata; Mammalia; Primates; Hominidae
Description: HSALNT0303758
Source: RNAcentral